This 468-nucleotide ribosomal RNA is filed under the name uncultured bacterium. RNAcentral's name for it is "partial 16S ribosomal RNA". It matches the Rfam family "Bacterial small subunit ribosomal RNA", at positions 28 to 507 of the family's 1533-position model. The record is from RNAcentral.
GACGAACGCUGGCGGCGUGCUUAACACAUGCAAGUCGAACGGAAAGGCCCUGCUUUUGUGGGGUGCUCGAGUGGCGAACGGGUGAGUAACACGUGAGUAACCUGCCCUUGACUUUGGGAUAACUUCAGGAAACUGGGGCUAAUACCGGAUAGGAGCUCCUGCUGCAUGGUGGGGGUUGGAAAGUUUCGGCGGUUGGGGAUGGACUCGCGGCUUAUCAGCUUGUUGGUGGGGUAGUGGCUUACCAAGGCUUUGACGGGUAGCCGGCCUGAGAGGGUGACCGGCCACAUUGGGACUGAGAUACGGACCAGAAUCCUACGGGAGGCAGCAGUGGGGAAUAUUGCACAAUGGGCGGAAGCCUGAUGCAGCAACGCCGCGUGCGGGAUGACGGCCUUCGGGUUGUAAACCGCUUUCGCCUGUGACGAAGAGUGAGUGACGGUAAUGGGUAAAGAAGCACCGGCUAACUACGUG